AUGAACCUUGUGACAUACUACUCUGAAGAGCUGGGUGGAGCAAAUGGGCCUGAGAAUGAAACGCGGGUUAGUUUUGAUGCUAUCCUGUGGACGCAAGGACAUACCCAACCCUCAGUGUGCGGUGAUAUUGUUGCUGGUCUUUGUGUGCUGAUUUUGUUUGCUAUACAUACGGCUAGGCCAUUCAAUUUAUUGUUUACAUGGGUGGAUAGGAAUUUGGGACACUCCAUUCCAUCUUGCCUGCGCCGUUCUGCUCCACUGGUUAUGCUUGGAAGGUUUCCGUUACUCCCGGUGUCCAGUUCUUGCAUCGGCUGUGCAAUACAUCCCAUUGUAAUUGUAUAA
Molecule: ribosomal RNA, 339 nt
Filed under: Triticum aestivum (bread wheat)
Lineage: Eukaryota; Viridiplantae; Streptophyta; Magnoliopsida; Poales; Poaceae
Description: partial small subunit ribosomal RNA
Source: RNAcentral